Molecule: ribosomal RNA, 497 nt
Filed under: uncultured bacterium
Lineage: Bacteria
Description: partial 16S ribosomal RNA
Rfam family: Bacterial small subunit ribosomal RNA
Source: RNAcentral
GAUGAACGCUGGCGGCGUGCCUAAUACAUGCAAGUCGAGCGAACAGACGAGGAGCUUGCUCCUCUGACGUUAGCGGCGGACGGGUGAGGAACACGUGGAUAACCUACCUAUAAGACUGGGAUAACUUCGGGAAACCGGAGCUAAUACCGUAUAAUAUAUUGAACCGCAUGGUUCAAUAGUUAAAGACGGUUUUGCUGUCACUUAUAGAUGGAUCCGCGCCGCAUUAGCUAUUUGGUAAGGUAACGGCUUACCAAGGCAACGAUGCGUAGCCGACCUGAGAGGGUGAUCCGCCACACUGGAACUGAGACACGGUCCAGACUCCUACGGGAGGCAGCAGUAGGGAAUCUUCCGAAAUGGGCGAAAGCCUGACGGAGCAACGCCGCGUGAGUGAUGAAGGUCUUCGGAUCGUAAAACUCUGUUAUUAGGGAAGAACAAAUGUGUAAGUAACUAUGCACGUCUUGACGGUACCUAAUCAGAAAGCCACGGCUAACUACGUG